This 467-nucleotide ribosomal RNA is filed under the name uncultured bacterium. RNAcentral's name for it is "partial 16S ribosomal RNA". It matches the Rfam family "Bacterial small subunit ribosomal RNA", at positions 28 to 506 of the family's 1533-position model. The record is from RNAcentral.
GACGAACGCUGGCGGCGUGCUUAACACAUGCAAGUCGAACGGAAAGGCCCUGCUUUUGUGGGGUGCUCGAGUGGCGAACGGGUGAGUAACACGUGAGUAACCUGCCCUUGACUUUGGGAUAACUUCAGGAAACUGGGGCUAAUACCGGCUAGGAGCUCCUGCUGCAUGGUGGGGGUUGGAAAGUUUCGGCGGUUGGGGAUGGACUCGCGGCUUAUCAGCUUGUUGGUGGGGUAGUGGCUUACCAAGGCUUUGACGGGUAGCCGGCCUGAGAGGGUGACCGGCCACAUUGGGACUGAGAUACGGCCCAGACUCCUACGGGAGGCAGCAGUGGGGAAUAUUGCACAAUGGGCGGAAGCCUGAUGCAGCAACGCCGCGUGCGGGAUGACGGCCUUCGGGUUGUAAACCGCUUUCGCCUGUGACGAAGCGUGAGUGACGGUAAUGGGUAAAGAAGCACCGGCUAACUACGU